GGAUGCUGUCAUACCAGCACUAACGCACCAGAUCCCAUCAGAACUCCGAAUUAAGCGUGCUUGUGCGAGAGUAGUACUAGCAUGGCUGACCCCCUGGGAAGUCCUCGAAUUGCAUCCC
Molecule: ribosomal RNA, 118 nt
Filed under: Nicotiana attenuata
Lineage: Eukaryota; Viridiplantae; Streptophyta; Magnoliopsida; Solanales; Solanaceae
Source: RNAcentral